Long non-coding RNA from Dioscorea cayenensis subsp. rotundata (Guinea yam), 142 nucleotides. RefSeq lists it as uncharacterized. The transcript has 2 exons. The record is from RefSeq and is a predicted model, not a curated record. NCBI's taxonomy places the organism in Eukaryota, Viridiplantae, Streptophyta, Magnoliopsida, Dioscoreales, Dioscoreaceae.
UGGAGUUUGAGCAAGCUUUUGGCCGGAUCCAACCAUUAUAUUUGCUCAUCUUACUCUUGGUUGAAGGAUGCCCAUCAAGAGAUUUGCUUCCAAGAGGGCUAGGAGGGAACCUACUCCUCCCGUGCAAGAACCAAGGUUUUCU